This 253-nucleotide ribosomal RNA is filed under the name uncultured bacterium. RNAcentral describes it as "partial 16S ribosomal RNA". It matches the Rfam family "Bacterial small subunit ribosomal RNA", at positions 524 to 776 of the family's 1533-position model. The record is from RNAcentral.
UACGGAGGGGGCUAGCGUUGUUCGGAAUUAUUGGGCGUAAAGAGCGCGUAGGCGGUUUAUCAAGUUGGAAGUGAAAUCCCGGGGCUUAACCCCGGAACUGCUUUCAAAACUAGUAAACUAGAGAACGAUAGAGGAUGGUGGAAUUCCUAGUGUAGAGGUGAAAUUCUUAGAUAUUAGGAGGAACACCGGUGGCGAAGGCGACCAUCUGGGUCGUUUCUGACGCUGAGGUGCGAAAGCGUGGGGAGCAAACAGG